This 272-nucleotide ribosomal RNA is filed under the name Clostridioides difficile. Its description in RNAcentral is "partial 16S ribosomal RNA". It matches the Rfam family "Bacterial small subunit ribosomal RNA", at positions 1 to 280 of the family's 1533-position model. Lineage: Bacteria; Bacillati; Bacillota; Clostridia; Peptostreptococcales; Peptostreptococcaceae. The record is from RNAcentral.
UUUUAUUUGAGAGUUUGAUCCUGGCUCAGGAUGAACGCUGGCGGCGUGCCUAACACAUGCAAGUUGAGCGAUUUACUUCGGUAAAGAGCGGCGGACGGGUGAGUAACGCGUGGGUAACCUACCCUGUACACCCGGAUAACAUACCGAAAGGUAUGCUAAUACGGGAUAAUAUAUUUGAGAGGCAUCUCUUGAAUAUCAAAGGUGAGCCAGUACAGGAUGGACCCGCGUCUGAUUAGCUAGUUGGUAAGGUAACGGCUUACCAAGGCGACGAU